GAAAAAAGAAUUUCGGGGCUUCGGCUCGACUCUCCCACCCUUUGUGAACGUACCUCUGUUGCUUUGGCGGCUCCGGCCGCCAAAGGACCUCCAAACUCCAGUCAGUAAACGCAGACGUCUGAUAAACAAGUUAAUAAACUAAAACUUUCAACAACGGAUCUCUUGGUUCUGGCAUCGAUGAAGAACGCAGCGAAAUGCGAUAAGUAAUGUGAAUUGCAGAAUUCAGUGAAUCAUCGAAUCUUUGAACGCACAUUGCGCCCCUUGGUAUUCCGGGGGGCAUGCCUGUUCGAGCGUCAUUACAACCCUCAAGCUCUGCUUGGAAUUGGGCACCGUCCUCACUGCGGACGCGCCUCAAAGACCUCGGCGGUGGCUGUUCAGCCCUCAAGCGUAGUAGAAUACACCUCGCUUUGGAGUGGUUGGCGUCGCCCGCCGGACGAACCUUCUGAACUUUUCUCAAGGUUGACCUCGGAUCAGGUAGGGAUACCCGCUGAACUUAAGCAUAUCAAUAGGCCGGAGGAAGAUCAUUACCGAGUUUUCGGGCUUCGGCUCGACUCUCCCACCCAUUGUGAACGUACCUCUGUUGCUUUGGCGGCUCCGGCCGCCAAAGGACCUCCAAACUCCUUCUUAAACGCAAACUUCUGAUAAACAAGUUAAUAAACUAAAAUUUUCACAAGGGAUCUCUGGGUUCUGGCUUGAUGAAGAACGCAGCGAAAUGCGAUAAGUAAUGUGAAAUGCGAAAUCAUGGAAAUAUGAAUCUUUGACGCCCUUUUGCCCUUGGGAAUUCGGGGGGCGGGCCGUUUAAGGGUUUU
Molecule: ribosomal RNA, 809 nt
Filed under: Lasiodiplodia theobromae
Lineage: Eukaryota; Fungi; Ascomycota; Dothideomycetes; Botryosphaeriales; Botryosphaeriaceae
Description: eukaryotic LSU rRNA
Rfam family: 5.8S ribosomal RNA (bases 143-296)
Source: RNAcentral